GGUUGAUUAAGGGUUAAGGUUAGGGUAAGGUGUAGGGUUUGAUUAUAUGGUUGAUUAAGGGUUAAGGGUAGGGUUAGGUGUAGGGUUUAAUUUUAGGGUUGAUUAAGGGUUAAGGUUAGGGUAAGGUGUAGGGUUUAAUUUUAGGGUUGAUUAAGGGUUAAGGUUAGGGUAAGGUGUACGGGUAGGUUCUAUUUUGAAUCAUUUACAUUCAACA
Astyanax mexicanus (Mexican tetra) is the source of this 214-nucleotide long non-coding RNA. RefSeq lists it as uncharacterized. The transcript has 3 exons. The record is from RefSeq and is a predicted model, not a curated record. Lineage: Eukaryota; Metazoa; Chordata; Actinopteri; Characiformes; Acestrorhamphidae.